CGCGAUUAGUAGCAAUACUAAUUGGCGGCGAGCGGCGGACGGGUGAGGAACACGUAGGAACUUGCCUAAUAGAGGGGGAUAACCAAGGGAAACUUUGGCUAAUACCGCGUAAUGUCGAGAGACCAAAGCUGCAGCAAUGUAGCGCUAUUAGAGAGGCCUGCGUCCGAUUAGCUAGUUGGUAGGGUAAAAGCCUACCAAGGCGAUGAUCGGUAACUGGUCUGAGAGGACGACCAGUCACACUGGGACUGAGACACGGCCCAGACUCCUACGGGAGGCAGCAGUGGGGAAUCUUGGACAAUGGGGCAACCCUGAUCCAGCGAUGCCGCGUGAGUGAAGAAGGCCCUCGGGUCGUAAAGCUCUUUAGGCUGGGAAGAAGGUUAGUGGAGGAAAUGCCAUUAAUUUGACUGUACCAGCAGAAUAAGCACCGGCAAACUCUGUGCCAGCAGCCGCGGUAAUACAGAGGGUGCGAGCGUUGAUCGGAAUUACUGGGCGUAAAGGGCGCGUAGGCGGUUACAUGAGUGUGCUGUGAAAGCCCCGGGCUUAACCUGGGAAGUGCAGUGCAAACGAUGUAACUGGAGUAGAUGAGAGGGUGGUGGAAUUUCCGGUGUAGCGGUGAAAUGCGUAGAGAUCGGAAGGAACGUCAAUGGCGAAGGCAGCCACCUGGCAUCAUACUGACGCUGAGGCGCGAAAGCGUGGGGAGCGAACAGGAUUAGAUACCCUGGUAGUCCACGCUGUAAACGAUGAGAACUAAAUGUUGGUGGGGGAACCCAUCGGUAUUGAAGCUAACGCGAUAAGUUCUCCGCC
This 804-nucleotide ribosomal RNA is filed under the name uncultured Gammaproteobacteria bacterium. Its description in RNAcentral is "bacterial SSU rRNA". It matches the Rfam family "Bacterial small subunit ribosomal RNA", at positions 68 to 873 of the family's 1533-position model. The record is from RNAcentral. Lineage: Bacteria; Pseudomonadati; Pseudomonadota; Gammaproteobacteria.